This 615-nucleotide ribosomal RNA is filed under the name fungal endophyte sp. ECD-2008. Its description in RNAcentral is "eukaryotic LSU rRNA". The stretch from base 293 to 446 matches the Rfam family "5.8S ribosomal RNA". The record is from RNAcentral. Lineage: Eukaryota; Fungi.
GAACCUGCGGAAGGAUCCAUUAAAUUAAACGCGAAUAGUCGGGCCUCACCACCACCCCUUUCUGGGGGUGGCAUCCUGGGUGGCCCGGCGUCCUUUUGAUUAUAUCCCAUCUGUGAACUUUCCACUUGCCGCUUGCCGAGMGCCUGGACUNAUGCUCUACAUUGGGAGNNGGACUCACCAACCCAUGCGAACAUACCCACGKGGCCUCGGCGSGGGCCUAAACCCCCCCCGCCGAUGGCCCAGUAAACUCUGUUUUAUUCUGAAAUUCUGAAUCUUAAAGCAAAUAAGUUAAAACUUUCAACAACGGAUCUCUUGGUUCUGGCAUCGAUGAAGAACGCAGCGAAAUGCGAUAAGUAAUGUGAAUUGCAGAAUUCAGUGAAUCAUCGAAUCUUUGAACGCACAUUGCGCCCAUUAGUAUUCUAGUGGGCAUGCCUGUUCGAGCGUCAUUAAUACCAUUAAGCCCUGUAGCUUAGCGUUGGGAGCCUGCGGCUGCAGCUCCUCAAAACUAGUGGCGGAGUCAGCGUAUACUCUAGGCGUAGUAAUAACCCACUCGCUUCUGCGUUGCGCUGGCGCCUGCCGUAAAACAACCCAUUUCUAAAGGUUGACCUCGGAUCA